UAAUUUAAUAAAACCUGCAUGUUAAAACAGACCAAGCAUAAUGGUCUUAGCAUCAGAAAUAGAAAGAAAUCUUUGGGAUGAGUGACAGAUUGUAAAUUAUAAACAUUGCCUGAAGAUCAACGUUAAUGAUGCUCCAUCCAAAAGAAACUGUCAUGCUAUACCUUAAAAUCCCAAUCUUUCUGUAAGUAGCUCCUAAUAUCAGAUCAAGUGUAGAGAUGACAAAUGGAGCAGUAAAUUUGAAUAAUUCAGGCACAGUUUGCAGACCUAUCAAAGGAAUCCAUUGCCUAUAUCUUUUGUUCUAGGCCCAUACACAUAUAGGCAAAACAUUAGACUGACUAAUUUAGAGUGAGACACUUGUUAUAUAGCCACAACUUAACUUCCAUUUCGUAAAAUGAAUUAUCAACAACACUCAAAAACAAAAUUACUUCUUUGUGAAAAUUAUUUAUCAUCUCAGAUCUCUCUGCUUCUCAAAUUAGUCAAGAACAAUUAAAAUUUCGCCAGGCUUGAGUAGAGAAGAGUUCAUCCUUGAGUGAGACUCUAACUCUCACUUCAAUCAUAAGACAAAUUAAGGUUAACCAUAUUGCUGACAAAGACAAGUUGAUACUUGCAGACAUAAUCCAUACCAUCAUGA
RNAcentral lists this unclassified non-coding RNA (631 nucleotides) under Hevea brasiliensis (rubber tree). The record is from RNAcentral. Lineage: Eukaryota; Viridiplantae; Streptophyta; Magnoliopsida; Malpighiales; Euphorbiaceae.